AGAACGAACGCUGGCGGCAUGCCUAACACAUGCAAGUCGAACGAGACCUUCGGGUCUAGUGGCGCACGGGUGCGUAACGCGUGGGAAUCUGCCCUUAGGUACGGAAUAACAGUGAGAAAUUACUGCUAAUACCGUAUGAUGUCUUCGGACCAAAGAUUUAUCGCCUAGGGAUGAGCCCGCGUUGGAUUAGCUAGUUGGUGGGGUAAAGGCCUACCAAGGCGACGAUCCAUAGCUGGUCUGAGAGGAUGAUCAGCCACACUGGGACUGAGACACGGCCCAGACUCCUACGGGAGGCAGCAGUGGGGAAUAUUGGACAAUGGGCGAAAGCCUGAUCCAGCAAUGCCGCGUGAGUGAAGAAGGCCUUCGGGUUGUAAAGCUCUUUUGGCGGGGACGAUGAUGACGGUACCCGCAGAAUAAGCCCCGGCUAACUUCGCGCCAGCACCGC
Molecule: ribosomal RNA, 445 nt
Filed under: uncultured bacterium
Lineage: Bacteria
Description: SSU rRNA
Rfam family: Bacterial small subunit ribosomal RNA
Source: RNAcentral